Molecule: ribosomal RNA, 478 nt
Filed under: uncultured bacterium
Lineage: Bacteria
Description: partial 16S ribosomal RNA
Rfam family: Bacterial small subunit ribosomal RNA
Source: RNAcentral
GACGAACGCUGGCGGCGUGCUUAACACAUGCAAGUCGAACGGUAAGGCCCUUCGGGGUACACGAGUGGCGAACGGGUGAGUAACACGUGGGUGAUCUGCCCUGCACUUCGGGAUAAGCCUGGGAAACUGGGUCUAAUACCGGAUAGGACUCCGGACUGCAUGGUCUGGGGUGGAAAGCUUUUGCGGUGUGGGAUGGGCCCGCGGCCUAUCAGCUUGUUGGUGGGGUGAUGGCCUACCAAGGAGACGACGGGUAGCCGGCCUGAGAGGGUGACCGGCCAAACUGGGACUGAGAGACGGCCCACACUCCUACGGGAGGCAGCAGUGGGGAAUAUUGCACAAGGGGCGCAAGCCUGAUGCAGCGACGCCGCGUGAGGGAUGACGGCCUUCGGGUUGUAAACCUCUUUCAGCAUCGACGAAGCGAAAGUGACGGUAGGUGCAGAAGAAGGACCGGCCAACUACGUGCCAGCCGCCGCCGUAA